UACGUAGGGGGCAAGCGUUGUCCGGAUUUAUUGGGCGUAAAGAGCGUGUAGGCGGCCAGGUAGGUCCGUUGUGAAAACUCGAGGCUCAACCUCGAGACGUCGGCGGAAACCCUCUGGCUAGAGUCCGGAAGAGGAGAGUGGAAUUCCUGGUGUAGCGGUGAAAUGCGCAGAUAUCAGGAGGAACACCGAUUGCGAAGGCAGCUCGCUGGGACGUCACUGACGCUGAGACGCGAAAGCGUGGGGAGCAAACAGG
Molecule: ribosomal RNA, 253 nt
Filed under: uncultured bacterium
Lineage: Bacteria
Description: partial 16S ribosomal RNA
Rfam family: Bacterial small subunit ribosomal RNA
Source: RNAcentral